CGGGGGAGGCCGGAUCCUGGGCUGUGUCCCGGCGCCCUGUGCUCCGGAGCCUGCGCUGUUGGAUUCGCGCUCCCGGCCCGAAGCCCCCU
RNAcentral lists this microRNA precursor (89 nucleotides) under Canis lupus familiaris (dog). Its description in RNAcentral is "mir-8799 microRNA precursor family". It matches the Rfam family "mir-8799 microRNA precursor family". The record is from Rfam by way of RNAcentral. Lineage: Eukaryota; Metazoa; Chordata; Mammalia; Carnivora; Canidae.